RNAcentral lists this ribosomal RNA (259 nucleotides) under uncultured bacterium. RNAcentral's name for it is "partial 16S ribosomal RNA". It matches the Rfam family "Bacterial small subunit ribosomal RNA", at positions 524 to 776 of the family's 1533-position model. The record is from RNAcentral.
UACGUAGGGUGCAAGCGUUGUCCGGAUUUAUUGGGCGUAAAGAGCUCGUAGGCGGUUUUGCCGCGUCUGCUGUGAAAAACUCGGGGCUUAACCCCGGGCCUGCAGUGGGUACGGGCAGACUAGAGUGCGGUAGGGGGAGACUGGAAUUCCUGGUGUAGCGGUGGAAUGCGCAGAUAUCAGGAAGAACACCGACGGCGAAGGCAGCUCGCUGGGGACGGUACUGACGCUGAGGCGCGAAAAGCGUGGGGGAGCGAACAGG